UUCUUAGUUCGUGGAGUGAUCUGUCUGCUUAAUUGCGUUUCAAAUUUUUAACCGAGGACCGGGUUUUGGUUUGGCUAGUGGUCCUACGAUGACUGUGAACUGUCAUGUCUUCGGAUGUACGACUAUCGGUCUAGGAUCACAUGACUUGCCCCUGGGACUCUUUUGAACGCAACGGACGUGAUUGCAACCCCUUGUUGAGAUUAGAGAUAGUCUCGAUAUUCACUGGCCAAACUGGCUGCUUUAUGCAGUCUUGUUGAAUGGUGGAUAAACUCGGGGGACUGCUGACUAUAACCAUUUCUCAAAACAGAGGAAGGUUGCGGCAAUAACAGGUCUGUGAUGC
This 340-nucleotide ribosomal RNA is filed under the name Globigerinoides ruber albus. Its description in RNAcentral is "SSU rRNA". The record is from RNAcentral. Lineage: Eukaryota; Foraminifera; Rotaliida; Globigerinidae.